RNAcentral lists this unclassified non-coding RNA (337 nucleotides) under soil metagenome. RNAcentral's name for it is "partial contains 5.8S ribosomal RNA, internal transcribed spacer 2, and large subunit ribosomal RNA". The stretch from base 1 to 120 matches the Rfam family "5.8S ribosomal RNA", at positions 35 to 154 of the family's 154-position model. The record is from RNAcentral.
GAUGAAGAACGUAGUGAAAUGCGAUAAGUAAUGUGAAUUGCAGAAUUCAGUGAAUCAUCGAAUCUUUGAACGCAUCUUGCGCUCCUUGGUAUUCCGAGGAGCAUGCCUGUUUGAGUGUCAUUUCAACCCUCAAGCUCUGCUUGGUAUUGGGCUCCGUCCUCCUCGGACGCGCCUCAAAGACCUCGGCGGUGGCGUCUUGCCUCAAGCGUAGUAGAAACACCUCGCUUUGGAGUGCAUGGCGUCGCCCGCCGGACGAAACCUUUUGUAUUUUCUCAAAGGUUGACCUCGGAUCAGGUAGGGAUACCCGCUGAACUUAAGCAUAUCGAUAAGCGGAGGA